Molecule: ribosomal RNA, 263 nt
Filed under: uncultured Staphylococcus sp.
Lineage: Bacteria; Bacillati; Bacillota; Bacilli; Caryophanales; Staphylococcaceae
Description: partial 16S ribosomal RNA
Rfam family: Bacterial small subunit ribosomal RNA
Source: RNAcentral
CGGACGGGUGAGUAACACGUGGAUAACCUACCUAUAAGACUGGGAUGACUUCGGGAAACCGGAGCUAAUACCGGAUAAUAUAUUGAACCGCAUGGUUCAAUAGUGAAAGACGGUUUUGCUGUCACUUAUAGAUGGAUCCGCGCCGCAUUAGCUAGUUGGUAAGGUAACGGCUUACCAAGGCAACGAUGCGUAGCCGACCUGAGAGGGUGAUCGGCCACACNGGAACUGAGACACGGUCCAGACUCCUACGGGAGGCAGCAGAC